GAUGAACGCUGGCGGCGUGCCUAAUACAUGCAAGUCGAGCGAACAGACGAGGAGCUUGCUCCUCUGACGUUAGCGGCGGACGGGUGAGUAACACGUGGAUAACCUACCUAUAAGACUGGGAUAACUUCGGGAAACCGGAGCUAAUACCGGAUAAUAUAUUGAACCGCAUGGUUCAAUAGUGAAAGACGGUUUUGCUGUCACUUAUAGAUGGAUCCGCGCCGCAUUAGCUAGUUGGUAAGGUAACGGCUUACCAAGGCAACGAUGCGUAGCCGACCUGAGAGGGUGAUCGGCCACACUGGAACUGAGACACGGUCCAGACUCCUACGGGAUGCAGCAGUAGGGAAUCUUCCGCAAUGAGCGAAAGCCUGACGGAGCAACGCCGCGUGAGUGAUGAAGGUCUUCGGAUCGUAAAACUCUGUUAUUAGGGAAGAACAAAUGUGUAAGUAACUAUGCACGUCUUGACGGUACCUAAUCAGAAAGCCACGGCUAACUACGUG
RNAcentral lists this ribosomal RNA (497 nucleotides) under uncultured bacterium. RNAcentral's name for it is "partial 16S ribosomal RNA". It matches the Rfam family "Bacterial small subunit ribosomal RNA", at positions 28 to 507 of the family's 1533-position model. The record is from RNAcentral.